AGCUAGCCGAAGGCCUUUGCUGCUAAAGGGGGUGGAUGGUUUGCAAGGGAAUCCGCCAACAAGAGUGCAUAUGGCCGAUCCAAGGCUACAAAAACUGAAAUGCCUUGAGCCCUCUUUGAUUUCAGCCACUCUCCUCCAGCAAAUACUUUGGUAUGAUUAAAUCUGAAUGCAUUGGGUGCUUCAAAGACUCAAAUACUUGUGUUGUCUACUUUAUUAUGUUGACGUCUCUCCAUUGCUUCUCUAGCUCCGAUCAGAGCCAUCCGGUGGUACUUUUUGGGUGUUCGGGUGGCUUUGGUUCUGUGCACUGAUGGGUUACCGGCGGUCUUUGAUGCUGGUGGGCGAUUCUCCUUGGAUUGGUUCUCUUGGGGUUGGAUUGAUGUAGGGGCG
This 387-nucleotide unclassified non-coding RNA is filed under the name Hevea brasiliensis (rubber tree). The record is from RNAcentral. Lineage: Eukaryota; Viridiplantae; Streptophyta; Magnoliopsida; Malpighiales; Euphorbiaceae.